GAAGUUUUCAGAGAUGAGAAUGUGCCUUCGGGAACCGUGAGACAGGUGCUGCAUGGCUGUCGUCAGCUCGUGUUGUGAAAUGUUGGGUUAAGUCCCGCAACGAGCGCAACCCUUAUCCUUUGUUGCCAGCGAUUAGGUCGGGAACUCAAAGGAGACUGCCAGUGAUAAACUGGAGGAAGGUGGGGAUGACGUCAAGUCAUCAUGGCCCUUACGACUAGGGCUACACACGUGCUACAAUGGCGCAUACAAAGAGAAGCGACCUCGCGAGAGCAAGCGGACCUCAUAAAGUGCGUCGUAGUCCGGAUUGGAGUCUGCAACUCGACUCCAUGAAGUCGGAAUCGCUAGUAAUCGUGGAUCAGAAUGCCACGGUGAAUACGUUCCCGGGCCUUGUACACACCGCCCGUCACACCAUGGGAGUGGGUUGCAAAAGAAGUAGGUAGCUUAACCUUCGGGAGGGCGCUUACCACUUUGUGAUUCAUGACUGGGGUGAAGUCGUAACAAGGUAACCGUAGGGGAACCUGCGGUUGGAUCACCUCCUUACCUGAAAGAA
This 550-nucleotide ribosomal RNA is filed under the name Salmonella enterica. RNAcentral describes it as "bacterial SSU rRNA". It matches the Rfam family "Bacterial small subunit ribosomal RNA", at positions 993 to 1533 of the family's 1533-position model. Lineage: Bacteria; Pseudomonadati; Pseudomonadota; Gammaproteobacteria; Enterobacterales; Enterobacteriaceae. RNAcentral also lists the same sequence under 1 other name. The record is from RNAcentral.